AUUGUACGCUGGCGGCAUGCCUUACACAUGCAAGUCGAACGGCAGCACGGGAGCUUGCUCCUGGUGGCGAGUGGCGAACGGGUGAGUAAUAUAUCGGAACGUGCCCAGUCGUGGGGGAUAACGUAGCGAAAGCUACGCUAAUACCGCAUACGAUCUAUGGAUGAAAGCGGGGGAUCGCAAGACCUCGCGCGAUUGGAGCGGCCGAUAUCAGAUUAGGUAGUUGGUGNGGUAAAGGCUCACCAAGCCGACGAUCUGUAGCUGGUCUGAGAGGACGACCAGCCACACUGGGACUGAGACACGGCCCAGACUCCUACGGAGGCAGCAGUGGGAAUUUUGGGACAAUAGGGCGCAAGCCUGAUCCAGCAAUGCCGCGUGCAGGA
This 380-nucleotide ribosomal RNA is filed under the name uncultured bacterium. RNAcentral describes it as "bacterial SSU rRNA". It matches the Rfam family "Bacterial small subunit ribosomal RNA", at positions 30 to 408 of the family's 1533-position model. The record is from RNAcentral.